AGUGAACGCUGGCGGUAGGCCUAACACAUGCAAGUCGAACGGCAGCACAGUAAGAGCUUGCUCUUACGGGUGGCGCGUGGCGGCCGGGUGAGGAAUACAUCGGAAUCUACUUUUUCGUGGGGGAUAACGUAGGGAAACUUACGCUAAUACCGCAUACGACCUACGGGUGAAAGCAGGGGAUCUUCGGACCUUGCGCGGUUGAAUGAGCCGAUGUCGGAUGAGCUAGUUGGCGGGGUAAAGGCCCACCAAGGCGACGAUCCGUAGCUGGUCUGACAGGAUGAUCAGCCAGACUGGAACAGAGAAAGGGCCCAGACUCCUACGGGAGGAAGCAGUGGGGAAUAUUGGACAAUGGGCGCAAGCCUGAUCCAGCCAUACCGCGUGAGUGAAGAAGGCCUUCGGGUUGUAAAGCCAUUUUGUUGGGAAAGAAAAGCAGCAGGUUAAUACCCCGCUGUUCUGACGGUACCCAAAGAAUAAGCACCGGCUAACUUCGUG
RNAcentral lists this ribosomal RNA (492 nucleotides) under uncultured bacterium. RNAcentral's name for it is "partial 16S ribosomal RNA". It matches the Rfam family "Bacterial small subunit ribosomal RNA", at positions 29 to 507 of the family's 1533-position model. The record is from RNAcentral.